RNAcentral lists this ribosomal RNA (497 nucleotides) under uncultured bacterium. Its description in RNAcentral is "partial 16S ribosomal RNA". It matches the Rfam family "Bacterial small subunit ribosomal RNA", at positions 28 to 507 of the family's 1533-position model. The record is from RNAcentral.
GAUGAACGCUGGCGGCGUGCCUAAUACAUGCAAGUCGAGCGAACAGACGAGGAGCUUGCUCCUCUGACGUUAGCGGCGGACGGGUGAGUAACACGUGGAUAACCUACCUAUAAGACUGGGAUAACUUCGGGAAACCGGAGCUAAUACCGGAUAAUAUAUUGAACCGCAUGGUUCAAUAGUGAAAGACGGUUUUGCUGUCACUUAUAGAUGGAUCCGCGCCGCAUUAGCUAGUUGGUAAGGUAACGGCUUACCAAGGCAACGAUGCGUAGCCGACCUGAGAGGGUGAUAGGCCACACUGGAACUGAGACACGGUCCAGACUCCUACGGGAGGCAGCAGUAGGAAAUCUUCCGCAAUGGGCGAAAGCCUGACGGAGCAACGCCGCGUGAGUGAUGAAGGUCUUCUGAUCGUAAAACUCUGUUAUUAGGGAAGAACAAAUGUGUAAGUAACUAUGCACGUCUUGACGGUACCUAAUCAGAAAGGCACGGCUAACUACGUG